Carassius carassius (crucian carp) is the source of this 4145-nucleotide long non-coding RNA. RefSeq lists it as uncharacterized. The record is from RefSeq and is a predicted model, not a curated record. The transcript is spliced from 2 exons. NCBI's taxonomy places the organism in Eukaryota, Metazoa, Chordata, Actinopteri, Cypriniformes, Cyprinidae.
CCAUGUGGAACCCACCCGCCCCUUGGAUCCCGAUCCCCAUAUCUCACUCGCAGAUUAAAUCUAAAGCCCACGGAGAGUGGUCAGCAAAGAGUGCCAAGCCUCUAUUGCUGACUCUUUGGCACCGUGGACUCUAGCUAUUGACAACUCCAAGUAAACAAUAUCCAAAUACAUUAAAAGCCAAGCUCGAAAGCAGAGUGAGUGUGGAGGUUUCCAGCGUGUGGCAAGUAGUUUUUUAGCAGCUGUAAGUCCAGCCAACAAUGCUCUUUUCUUGUCCAGUGUCAAUCCCAACUUUGACAAAUCAUUCAAAAUAAGUGUAGCAGGCGUACAAGGCAGUCUAAUCUUAAACAACUUAGAGAGGUUAAAGGCAAUCAUCUUCCAAAAUUCAGCCACUGGGGAACAUUCCCAGAACAUGUGAAAGUAACUGCCAGUCACUUUAGCAGAACAGAAAGUACAAGUAGGAUCGUCAAUAACCUUCAUUAAAUGAAGCUUCCUAGGGGUGAAAUAAACCCUAUGUACAAAAUUAUAAUGAAUUUGCUGGUGAUCAGGGUUUCUGGAUGAUAAACCUAUAUUGAUCCACACUUUAUCCCAAUCAAAUGCGGGUGACAAAUCUGGAACAUCUCUCCUCCACACUGUGUCCAACGCCAGAGGUCUAUAAGCAUAUCGCAGCAAGAGCCAAUAGAGUCUUGAUACAAAACCCCUAGUGCUCCCGACAGAGUAAAACAAUUUUCGAAUUGGAUGUGAUGUGAGCGGAGCUUGUAAGGGGGCACCGUUGCUUUUUAGAGUCGAUCUCAACUGCAAAUAAAAGAAAAAGGAGGUACGUGGUAUACCAUGCUUGAUGCAAAUAUUUUGAAAAGUAAGUAACCCCGCCUCCCCAUAAAUAUCCCCAAGUGUACAAAUGUUUUUUUUUUCCCAAUCAGGAAAUCGAAUAUGACAACCGCCAAUCAGCAAUCUCUCAUUGUUAAAUAUUGGAAAGUGUGGGUCCCAGAUAGAAAAACAACCAGCCAAUUUCUCCACCCUCCUCCAUACCAAAAGUAAAUAUGAAAUCAUGGGACCAAAUUUCAAACGGCAUUGAUGGGGUGAGAUUUUUGCAUACAAAAUAUUAGUAAAAGAAUAUGGAGCUAUCAUCCGUUCCUCUAAAGUUCGCCAAGAGACUUGAGCAUCAGGGUGAAACCAGGAUAGAAGAGGUCUAAGUGUGAAGGCCCACUCAUAGAACUUAAAAUUUGGGAGAGACAGGCCACCAGCCUGCCUUUCUCGCUGCAUGGUGGUGAGCUUAAUACGAGGUCGUUUGCCAUGCCACAGAAAUUUACUUAUUGCUGAGUGCAAUUUGCCCCAAUAUUUAGGGGGUGGGGGAAGGGGGAGCAUUGAGCUGACAAAAUUGAUUCUGGGCAGAACAUUCAUUUUAAUUAUGGCUACCCUGCCACGGAGCGAAUUUGGAAGGUUAGACCACCUGUCCAGAUCCGCCACCACUUUGUUAAGUGUUUUAGAAAAAUUGUUUUUAAUAAUUGUCUGUAUGGAGGAAUAGAUGUCUAUCCCCAGAUAAGUGAAGUUAUUAGUAACUGGAAUAGAUGCAGGGAUGGGAGUAUUGCACAUUGCCUGAUUUAAGGGUAGUAAAGCUGAUUUCUGCCAGUUAAUUUUGAAGCCAGAGAGCUUGCCAUAAAGAUCGAAGGUAGACAAAAUAUGUGGGAUACAUUGCACUGGGUUAUUUAUAUACAAUAAAAUAUCAUCAGCAUAAAGUGAAACAUGGUGGUGUGUACCUCUAAUGGAAAUUGGAGAGAUUGUGGGAGAACCACGGAUAGCUUGUGCCAGUGGCUCAAGAGAAAGGGCGAAUAACAGAGGGCUAAGAGGACAUCCUUGUCUUGAUCCUCUCAAGACAGCAAAUGGGGAGGAGCUAAUUUUGCCCGUAAGUACUACAGCUGUUGGGUUUUUAUACAGGACCUUAAUCAUAUUAAUAAACGGCAAACCAACCCCCAUAACCUUUAGCACUGCCCACAGAAAUGGCCACUCCAGGCGGUCAAAGGCCUUCAUUGCAUCUAGUGAAAGGACAGCAGCAGGGGAAUUUAAAUCUUGAGCAUCAUGUAUAAUGUGUAAUAGUCUUCUAACAUUAUCUGUAGCAAGUCUAGACUUUAUAAACCCAGUUUGAUCACUAUGUACCAGUUCUGUCAUAUGGCCUUGAAGCCGACGGGCCAGUAAUUUUGCGUAAAUCUUUAAAUCUGCAUUUAAAAGCGAAAGAGGCCUGUAGCUGGCGCAAUCAGCUGGAUCCUUUCCUUUUUUAAGAAGCAGUGAAAUUAAUGCAGAAUUAACAUCCCUAGAAAAUGAUCCCUCUCUAACAGAAUAUAAAAUCAUCUCCAGUAAAAGCGGGCCAAUCUGGGGCCAAAAAGUAAGAUAAAAUUCGGGUGGUAUUCCGUCUGGACCUGGUGAUCUACCUUUACGCAUGUCCCUAGCAGCUGUCUCGCACUCCUGUAAUGUGAUUGGUUGAUCUAAUUUUAUGGCGUCAUCAUUACUGAGAUGAGAUAGUUUAACAUCUUUCAGGAAAUUAUUGCAGACAUCUUUAUCAAAAUUAUUUUCCGAAUUAUAUAACUCCUGAUAGAAGGAGGCAAAAACAGCAUUUACUUUCUUUGGGUCACAUUGUAUAGUGUUAUUUUUGUCUUUAAUGCAAAAGAUAUCAGCAAAGUGCUCAUCCGUCCGAAGUUUCAUUGCCAGUAAGCGACUGGGUUUUGAGGAGUUAAAAUAAUAAGUUUGUCUGGUUUUGUGCAUGAGGAAUUCUGAACGACGCCUCAGAAGAGAGUUAAUCUCUUUUUUGAUCAAUUCCUUUUGUAGGGCUGUGUAAUCAUUAAAAUUAUGUUGCAGGGAAGCAUCAAGGGACGUAUAUUUUAAUUCUAAAGCUUCCAAUUUAGCUGCAUGAGCUUUGUUUUGUGUUGAGGCAUAUAAAGUGGUAUUACUCCUUAUAAAGCCUUUUAUGGCCUCCCAAAGAAUCCUUGGAUCGAGAACAGAGCCAACAUUAAAGUCCAAAAAUUCACUAAAAUUUGUUUCAAACUGAGCUUUGAAAGACUCAUCUCGCAGUAAAGAAGUAUUAAGACGCCAUCUGGGGGCUUUAGUGGAAAAUGGGCGAACCUUGACUGAACAACAUAUGGGUUUGUGAUCAGACCAGGUCACCGGAAUGUAAUGCGCAUUUUGAAUAUUUUGAAAUAAAUCUUUUGAGGCAAAGAUAAAAUCUAGUCUCGAAAAGGAUUUAUGUCUCCCUGAGUAAAAAGAAUAGUCUUUUAAAGAAGGGUUUAACAAACGCCAGAUAUCGACCAUGCCCGUUUCGGAUGCCCAGUGGCGCAACGCCUCAGAUGCAAGAUGUUGGUCUUUAGUCUCGCUGCCGCCUGUUCUGUCCAUGCUGCUGUCCCACACCGCAUUGAAAUCAGCCCCAAGAACUAAGUGAAAUCCUGUAAGAUCAAGCAAGGAUUUAGUUAAUAGAUGGAAAAAGGUACGAUCAAAUACAUUAGGGGCAUAAGCAGAAAUAAGUGCAAUGUUUUUCCCAUCCAUACAGAUCCUUGCUAUAGCUAUCCGCCCUGCAUCAUCUGCCCAAGAGUCAAUCAUAUCAAAUUUUAGUUUACGUUUACACAAUACCAUUACCCCUUUAGAUUUUGUUGCUGCAGAUGAAGUUGCAAUAGAAUGAUAAAACUUAUUGGCUAAUCGACCCACAUCUUUGCCCAAUAAAUGUGAUUCCUGAAUCAUAGCAAAGUCUAUAUUUUUCUUACGAAAAAAUUCUAGUACAGUGGUUCUUUUGUGCGGAACGUUCAGACCCCUGGCGUUGACUGAAAUAAGGUUAAGAGCUGUCAUAUGCUAGAAGGCUUUGUGAAAAACAAAGAAAGAGGAAAAAAAAAAAGAAAGAGUUGUCCCAACAACAGCACGAGAGAGAACCGGAUCCAUAAAAGAGAAACACCCAAAAAAAAGAAAAAAAAAAAAAAAAAAAAAAAAAAAAAAAAAAAAAAAAAAAAAAAAAAGAAAAAAAAAAAAAAAAAAAAAAAACCGAAGAGGAAGUUUCAAAAAAAAAAAAAAAAAAAAAAAAAAAAAAAAAAAAAAAAAAAAAAAAAAAAAAAAAAAAAAAAAUAUAUGUAGGCCUAUAUGUAACAAAUAAAAAUAAAAUAAAAAAUAAAGAA